This 503-nucleotide ribosomal RNA is filed under the name uncultured bacterium. RNAcentral describes it as "partial 16S ribosomal RNA". It matches the Rfam family "Bacterial small subunit ribosomal RNA", at positions 30 to 523 of the family's 1533-position model. The record is from RNAcentral.
AUUGAACGCUGGCGGCAGGCUUAACACAUGCAAGUCGAGCGGGGUGAUGGUGCUUGCACUAUCACUUAGCGGCGGACGGGUGAGUAAUGCUUAGGAAUCUGCCUAUUAGUGGGGGACAACAUCUCGAAAGGGAUGCUAAUACCGCAUACGUCCUACGGGAGAAAGCAGGGGAUCACUUGUGACCUUGCGCUAAUAGAUGAGCCUAAGUCGGAUUAGCUAGUUGGUGGGGUAAAGGCCUACCAAGGCGACGGUCUGUAGCGGGUCUGAGAGGAUGAUCCGCAACACUGGGACUGAGACACGGCCCAGACUCCGACGGGAGGCAGCAGUGGGGAAUAUUGGACAAUGGGGGGAACCCUGAUCCAGCCAUGCCGCGUGUGUGAAGAAGGCCUUAUGGUUGUAAAGCACUUUAAGCGAGGAGGAGGCUCUUUUGGUUAAUACCCAAGAUGAGUGGACGUUACUCGCAGAAUAAGCACCGGCUAACUCUGUGCCAGCCGCCGCCGUAA